This is a non-coding RNA of Oryctolagus cuniculus (rabbit), 1320 nucleotides long. The record is from RefSeq and is a predicted model, not a curated record. NCBI's taxonomy places the organism in Eukaryota, Metazoa, Chordata, Mammalia, Lagomorpha, Leporidae.
GGUAGAGAGCCCUGCAGAAGGCUGGGAUUUAUCGAGCAGCUGACAGAAGGUGGUGGCAGAGCUAGGUCAUGGCACAUUUGCCACAGUUCUUCCCUCUUUCCUCAGCCCUGCAAAGACCACAGAAGCCCCCAGUAUAGGGUUGUGCUUAUUCUGAGGAUGAGGAGGCUGACACUCAUCCCUCCUGAGCUGGGAGGGCACCACUGGGACAGGACUGGUAGAACUCCACAAAGCUACCAUUACCCAGAACCCUCUCUUUCCAUGUUCUGUGGCAGUUAGAGGCCACCAGUGUUUCCAGUAACCCAAAACCCCCUCUUUCCAUGUGUCCAGUAACUGACGGACCUGGGGUUCAUUUUCUAGACAGGAGGCAUGUUUGGCAGAGCUCGAUGGAUCCAGCUCUGCAUGUCCUGCUGACUUGAGGACAUUUGCUUUCAGCUUCAAGGAGCUGUGGGACCUGGAGGUCUUGCUGGUCCAGGAAGCAGCACACAUCAUUGCUGAGUGUGAGCAGUUACAGAACUGGAGGCUGCAUAUCGCCACGACACUCACACUCUAGAAAUGCCUAAAGAUGUUGAAGAACUGGAACAAAUAUCAGAGUAAUAGCAAGCUGUGUCACAAAACAGACAUGGGGAUCACUGCCCAGAUGUGGGGGAAGAAGUCAACACUGCUGCUAGACAUGAACAAGAUAAAGACCGAGAGUCCAGGAAAAUACCAGUUGAAACGAUGUCCUCAACAUAGUGUCACAGGUGGAUGCUAGGAGACAACUGAAGGCCAGCCAGAUCCUGUUAACACAGACCACGAGCCCUGGAGGACCACAGAGGCAGUCGACUGGAAGUCUCAUAAAGGUGCAUUGUUGGCCUUCAAAUUAAAAGGAAACGGUGGGGCUGGUGCUAUGGUAUAGCGGAUUAACGCCUUGGCCUGCAGCGUAAGCAUCUCAUAUGGGCGUCAGUUUGAGAUCCCCUGCUCCAAUUCCCAACCAGCUCUCUGCUAUGGCCUGGGAAAGCAGUAGAAGAUGGCCCAAGUCCUUGGGCCCCUGCACCCAAGGGGGAGACCUAAGGAACCUCCUGGCUCCUGGCUUCGGAUCGGUGCAGAUCCGGCCAUUCCAGUCAAUUCUCUCUUUCUGCCCCUCCUCUCUCUCUAUAACUCUGACUUUCAUAUAAAUAAAUAAAAUCUUUACAAAAUAAAGUAAAUGGUGCCAAAUCUCCACAAGACACAUACAGUUCUUGCCACAGCAAUAAUGGCAAAAUUAUCAGGGGCAGUCUGAUAAUAUCAAGUAAUGCAAAUUCAAAGUGAAGCUUGACCUUCUUGAGGUGGUGGUAACCUGCG